AUUGAACGCUGGCGGCAGGCCUAACACAUGCAAGUCGAACGAGUGGCGGACGGGUGAGUAAUGUAUGGGAAACUGCCUGAUGGAGGGGGAUAACUACUGGAAACGGUAGCUAAUACCGCAUACCAUCGGAUGUGCCCAGAUGGGAUUAGCUAGGAGGUGGGGUAAAGGCUCACCUAGGCGACGAUCCCUAGCUGGGCUGAGAGGAUGACCAGCCACACGGGAACGGGGACACGGUCCAGACUCCGACGGGAGGCAGCAGUGGGGAAUAUUGCACAAUGGGGGCAAUCCUGAUGCAUCCAUGCCGCGUGUAUGAAGAAGGCCUUCGGGUUGUAAAGUACUUUCAGCGGGGAGGCGUUACCCGCAGAAGAAGCACCGGCUAACUCCGUGCCAGCAGCCGCGGUAAUUC
This 406-nucleotide ribosomal RNA is filed under the name uncultured bacterium. RNAcentral's name for it is "partial 16S ribosomal RNA". It matches the Rfam family "Bacterial small subunit ribosomal RNA", at positions 29 to 526 of the family's 1533-position model. The record is from RNAcentral.